GACCUCCCCAACCCUUUGUCUAAAUUACCUUUGUUGCUUCGGCGGACCGGUUGAUGACCAACUGGUCCCGACCGCCGGGGGGGCUUCACCCCCUGGAGAGCGUCCGCCGACGGCCCAACCACAA
This 124-nucleotide ribosomal RNA is filed under the name Sarcinomyces sp. SL10150. RNAcentral's name for it is "partial 18S ribosomal RNA". The record is from RNAcentral. Lineage: Eukaryota; Fungi; Ascomycota; Eurotiomycetes; Chaetothyriales.